This 326-nucleotide ribosomal RNA is filed under the name uncultured Gammaproteobacteria bacterium. RNAcentral describes it as "bacterial SSU rRNA". It matches the Rfam family "Bacterial small subunit ribosomal RNA", at positions 189 to 496 of the family's 1533-position model. Lineage: Bacteria; Pseudomonadati; Pseudomonadota; Gammaproteobacteria. The record is from RNAcentral.
ACGCCCUACGGGGGAAAGCGGGGGACCUUCGGGCCUCGCGCUAUUAGAUGAGCCUGCGUUGGAUUAGCUAGUUGGUGGGGUAAUGGCCUACCAAGGCGACGAUCCAUAGCUGGUCUGAGAGGAUGAUCAGCCACACCGGGACUGAGACACGGGCCGGACUCCUGCGGGAGGCAGCAGUGGGGAAUAUUGCGCAAUGGGCGAAAGCCUGACGCAGCCAUGCCGCGUGUGUGAAGAAGGCCCUCGGGUUGUAAAGCACUUUGAAUUGGGAGGAAAGGCUGACGGCUAAUACCCGAGAGCUGUGACGUUACCUUUAGAAGAAGCACCGG